GUGUGCAUAGCUCAGUGGUUAGAUCAUCCCUCCAGAUUUGAGGUGGUCAUGGGUUUGAAUCCCAUUGCACACA
Molecule: transfer RNA, 73 nt
Filed under: Endocronartium harknessii PhW48OC
Lineage: Eukaryota; Fungi; Basidiomycota; Pucciniomycetes; Pucciniales; Coleosporiaceae
Description: tRNA-Ser (AGA) (tRNA-Ser-AGA-6-1)
Rfam family: tRNA
About the family: Transfer RNA (tRNA) molecules are approximately 80 nucleotides in length. Their secondary structure includes four short double-helical elements and three loops (D, anti-codon, and T loops). Further hydrogen bonds mediate the characteristic L-shaped molecular structure. tRNAs have two regions of fundamental functional importance: the anti-codon, which is responsible for specific mRNA codon recognition, and the 3' end, to which the tRNAs corresponding amino acid is attached (by aminoacyl-tRNA synthetases). tRNAs cope with the degeneracy of the genetic code in two manners: having more than one tRNA (with a specific anti-codon) for a particular amino acid; and 'wobble' base-pairing, i.e. permitting non-standard base-pairing at the 3rd anti-codon position.
Source: RNAcentral